UACAGAGGAGCCAAGCGUUGUCCGGAUUGACUGGGCGUAAAGCGCACGCAGGCGGUCGGGCGCGUGGGGUGUGAAAUCUGGCCGCUUAACGGCCAGGCGCCAUCCCAUACGGCCGGACUGGAGUGAUGCAGAGGUCGGUGGAAUUGCCGGUGUAGUGGUGAAAUGCGUAGAGAUCGGAAGGAACACCAGUGGCGAAGGCGGCUACCUGGCCUAAUACUGACACUGAGGCACGAAAGCGUGGGGAGCAAACAGG
Molecule: ribosomal RNA, 253 nt
Filed under: uncultured bacterium
Lineage: Bacteria
Description: partial 16S ribosomal RNA
Rfam family: Bacterial small subunit ribosomal RNA
Source: RNAcentral